Molecule: non-coding RNA, 1070 nt
Organism: Cinara cedri
Lineage: Eukaryota; Metazoa; Arthropoda; Insecta; Hemiptera; Aphididae
Source: the annotation of a GenBank genome assembly
GUUUCCGAGCGAAGCGAUGAUGUAUUUAUAUCGGUUUUACUAUGUAUCUGUAUGGUAUCAUAACGUGCCUUUUUUUCUGUCUGCGAACGGCUUUCCUAUUAAUUAACUGGCCCCUGCUGGUCAAGUUUAAUGGCGGUUAGCGGUAGCAAACGUUGUGCGCGUCGAUACGGUCGUUUUUCGAUUUUCCUCGUAGUUUUUUUUUAAUAAACCAUAGGAAAAGGCAAAUUCACACGUUUCAAACAAUUCUAUCAGUUUCCGAAUUAUUUAUAAAGCCACAUUUGAAAUUUUCGAGUUUUAUUUCGGUUUUUUUUUUUUUUUUUACACGGACGAAAUUGUAUUAGCACACCGAAAAUGCUUGAAAAAUUAACACCAGGUUCAUCAUACGUUGUGAUUGUUAAUGUUAAAAACAAACAGAAAUUGAGCGCAAUAAGGAAAUUUGUUUUCACAAAUUCAAAUUUCGAUAAAAAUACCGGCAUUUUUAAAACACGUUCAAUUGAACUCGGUGCAAAAUCGUUUUAACGUUGAUUUAUUGUCGCGGUGUUGUAUAUACAUUUUAUUUUAUUAUUAACGUUUUACGAACGCUCAAGAAAUAACCGACAAUGUCGAGAGAUUUGUUUAAAUCCAUCAUUGACAAUUUAAAACGUUGAAUUCUAAUUAUGUUUUCGAACCGAAUAAUAAAUGCAAUGAAACCGCCGUCGAAUAUUGUAUACCUAUUAUAUGUUGUAUAUUAACACAUUAUGUUUUUGAAAAACCUUCAAACCGACGACGGUGUUGGAAUUUUCUCGCUACCCACUCGUAAUAACAGCGAGUACUUAAUGUUAUUACAACGAACUGAAUUUCAACACUUUUAAACCGACUUCGGCCAUCACUGUCGAACCGUUAACACAAAAUGAUGUAUUGUAAUUUCGUCCGGGAAGAAAACGAGACGUUAAUAAUAACAUUACUGUGGGAUUUCACACGAACAAUCUGCCGCGGUCCCCCGCGAUCGAAGUAUUCCUCGGUUUUCGAGCUUGCGUUUUCGGUCUCGGGGAAGGGGUAGGGCUCGAGUGAAUUUCGAAAUUCGUUUUUUA